Molecule: ribosomal RNA, 450 nt
Filed under: uncultured bacterium
Lineage: Bacteria
Description: bacterial SSU rRNA
Rfam family: Bacterial small subunit ribosomal RNA
Source: RNAcentral
GUAGGGAAUCUUCCGCAAUGGACGCAAGUCUGACGGAGCAACGCCGCGUGAGUGAAGAAGGGUUUCGGCUCGUAAAACUCUGUUGUCAGGGAAGAACGUCCCCGUGAGUAACUGCACGGGGAGUGACGGUACCUGACCAGAAAGCCACGGCUAACUACGUGCCAGCAGCCGCGGUAAUACGUAGGUGGCAAGCGUUAUCCGGAAUUAUUGGGCGUAAAGCGCGCGUAGGCGGUCUGUUAAGUCUGAUGUGAAAGCCCCCGGCUCAACCGGGGAGGGUCAUUGGAAACUGGCAGACUUGAGUGCAGAAGAGGAGAGUGGAAUUCCAUGUGUAGCGGUGAAAUGCGCAGAGAUAUGGAGGAACACCAGUGGCGAAGGCGGCUCUCUGGUCUGCAACUGACGCUGAGGUGCGAAAGCGUGGGGAUCAAACAGGAUUAGAUACCCCGGUAGUCC